This 23-nucleotide non-coding RNA is filed under the name Limulus polyphemus (Atlantic horseshoe crab). RNAcentral also lists the same sequence under 4 other names. Lineage: Eukaryota; Metazoa; Arthropoda; Merostomata; Xiphosura; Limulidae. The record is from RNAcentral.
UGAGUAUUACUUCAGGUACUGGU